CAGUCGCCACGGUAAUACGAAGGGGGCUAGCGUUGCUCGGAAUUACUGGGCGUAAAGGGCGCGUAGGCGGAUGUUUAAGUCAGAGGUGAAAGCCCAGGGCUCAACCUUGGAACUGCCUUUGAUACUGGACAUCUUGAGUAUGGGAGAGGUGAGUGGAACUCCGAGUGUAGAGGUGAAAUUCGUAGAUAUUCGGAAGAACACCAGUGGCGAAGGCGACUCACUGGCCCAUUACUGACGCUGAGGCGCGAAAGCGUGGGGAGCAAACAGGAUUAGAUACCCCAGUAGUCCCUGUCUCUUAUAC
Molecule: ribosomal RNA, 301 nt
Filed under: uncultured bacterium
Lineage: Bacteria
Description: partial 16S ribosomal RNA
Rfam family: Bacterial small subunit ribosomal RNA
Source: RNAcentral